ACCCAGGCUUCACUUGAAGCCAUAAUAAUCACAUAAUCUUAUUAU
Theileria annulata is the source of this 45-nucleotide non-coding RNA. The record is from Rfam. NCBI's taxonomy places the organism in Eukaryota, Apicomplexa, Aconoidasida, Piroplasmida, Theileriidae.